CCUACGGGAGGCAGCAGUGGGGAAUAUUGCACAAUGGGGGAAACCCUGAUGCAGCGACGCCGCGUGAGGGAAGAAGUAAUUCGGUAUGUAAAACUCUAUCAGCAGGGAAGAAAAUGACGGUACCUGAGUAAGAAGCCCCGGCUAACUACGUUCCAGCAGCCGCGGUAAUACGUAGGGGGCAAGCGUUAUCCGGAUUUACUGGGUGUAAAGGGAGCGUAGACGGCAGUGCAAGUCUGGAGUGAAAGGCGGGGGCUCAACCCCCGGACUGCUCUGGAAACUGUACGGCUGGAGUGCAGGAGAGGUAAGUGGAAUUCCUAGUGUAGCGGUGAAAUGCGUAGAUAUUAGGAGGAACACCAGUGGCGAAGGCGGCUUACUGGACUGUAACUGACGUUGAGGCUCGAAAGCGUGGGGAGCAAACAGGAUUAGAUACCCCAGUAGUC
RNAcentral lists this ribosomal RNA (440 nucleotides) under uncultured bacterium. Its description in RNAcentral is "partial 16S ribosomal RNA". It matches the Rfam family "Bacterial small subunit ribosomal RNA", at positions 338 to 795 of the family's 1533-position model. The record is from RNAcentral.